AACGAACGCUGGCGGCGUGGAUAAGACACGCAAGUUCGAACGAGAGAAUCGCUAGCUCGCUAAUAAUUCUCUAGCGGCGCACGGGCGAGUAACACGCGAGUAACCCGCCCCCGAGAGCGGGAUAGCCCCGGGAAACUCGGGAUUAAUACCGCAUAGUAUCGAAAGAUUUAAAGCAGCAAUGCGCUCGGGGAUGGGCUCGCGGCCUAUUAGUUUAGUUCGGUGAGGUAACGGCUCACCAAGGCGAUGACGGGUAGCCGGUCUGAGAGGAUGUCCGGCCACACUGGAACUGAGACACGGUCCAGACACCUACGGGUGGCAGCAGUCGAGAAUCAUUCACAAUGGGGGAAACCCUGAUGGUGUGACGCCGCGUGGGGGAAUGAAGGUCUUCGGAUUGUAAACCCCUGUCAUGUGGGAGCAAAUUAAAAAGAUAGUACCACAAGAGGAAGAGACGGCUAACUCUGUGCCAGCAGCCGCGGUAAUACAGAGGUCUCAAGCGUUGUUCGGAAUCACUGGGCGUAAAGCGUGCGUAGGCUGUUUCGUAAGUCGUGUGUGAAAGGCGCGGGCUCAACCCGCGGACGGCACAUGAUACUGCGAGACUAGAGUAAUGGAGGGGGAACCGGAAUUCUCGGUGUAGCAGUGAAAUGCGUAGAUAUCGAGAGGAACACUCGUGGCGAAGGCGGGUUCCUGGACAUUAACUGACGCUGAGGCACGAAGGCCAGGGGAGCGAAAGGGAUUAGAUACCCCUGUAGUCCUGGCAGUAAACGGUGCACGCUUGGUGUGCGGGGAAUCGACCCCCUGCGUGCCGGAGCUAACGCGUUAAGCGUGCCGCCUGGGGAGUACGGUCGCAAGAUUAAAACUCAAAGAAAUUGACGGGGACCCGCACAAGCGGUGGAGUAUGUGGCUUAAUUCGAUGCAACGCGAAGAACCUUACCUGGGCUUGACAUGUAAUGAACAACAUGUGAAAGCAUGCGACUCUUCGGAGGCGUUACACAGGUGCUGCAUGGCCGUCGUCAGCUCGUGUCGUGAGAUGUUUGGUUAAGUCCAGCAACGAGCGCAACCCCUGUUGCCAGUUACCAGCACGUGAAGGUGGGGACUCUGGCGAGACUGCCCAGAUCAACUGGGAGGAAGGUGGGGACGACGUCAGGUCAGUAUGGCCCUUAUGCCCAGGGCUGCACACGUACUACAAUGCCCAGUACAGAGGGGGCCGAAGCCGCGAGGCGGAGGAAAUCCUGAAAACUGGGCCCAGUUCGGACUGUAGGCUGCAACCCGCCUACACGAAGCCGGAAUCGCUAGUAAUGGCGCAUCAGCUACGGCGCCGUGAAUACGUUCCCGGGUCU
This 1337-nucleotide ribosomal RNA is filed under the name uncultured bacterium. Its description in RNAcentral is "16S ribosomal RNA". It matches the Rfam family "Bacterial small subunit ribosomal RNA", at positions 28 to 1381 of the family's 1533-position model. The record is from RNAcentral.